AGGACAAAUCGCACUGGGAUCCGCCAAGGUCACCGCGACACUGAGGUCCCCCUGCGGGACAGGCUCUAGCUCCCCGCGCGCCAGGCAGACUGCAGAUCCUCCCUCUCUACAAAGAUCCGUGGCUCGGGUCCACCCAGGGGUCGUGACCGCGUGGAGCUGCACGCCACGCUCCGCCCCGCCGCCCCUUCCGCCGCGCGCCGGACCCGCCUCCCUCCAGACUUCCUAACCGCGCGCGCAGCGGCCGUGUGGGGCGGACGGUGCGAGCGUGGUCUGCACCCCGGAGGAGCGGACGUGACAUAAGACUUCUACACCCAACAUGAGUGACAUUUCCUGCAAAAAACGGGAUGACUAUCUGGAAUGGCCCGAGUAUUUCAUGGCAGUGGCCUUCUUGUCGGCCCAAAGAAGCAAGGACCCAAGUUCCCAGGUGGGGGCCUGCAUUGUGAAUACAGAAAACAAGAUUGUUGGGAUCGGGUACAAUGGCAUGCCAAAUGGGUGCAGUGACGACCUGUUGCCUUGGAGGAGAACAGCAGAAAAUAAGCUGGAUACUAAAUAUCCUUAUGUGUGCCACGCCGAGCUGAACGCCAUCAUGAACAAGAACUCGGCUGAUGUGAAGGGCUGCAGCAUGUACGUCGCCUUGUUCCCGUGUAACGAGUGCGCUAAGCUCAUCAUCCAGGCAGAUGAAGAGGUCGACAGUGGGUGCAUGCAGCGAGCAGUGUGUGGGCUCUGUGGUCUGCCGGCUCAUCCCCUCUGAAGGGAGUACAGAGCCCACACAGAGCAGCCCUCAGGGCAAAGCCCUGGGGACUCCUGGCUCUCAAGUUCCUGCGACCUGGGGAGAUCUUGAAGCAGAUCUACCCUUCUUGGAACUGGGCUAAGGUGACGGGCGGAGCCUUUCUCAUGGCCUGGUGCUGCAGAUCUCUGGAUUAGCCAGCACCCUACGCUCCCCACGUUAGCCUCUUGAGUGAAGUAGUUGCUUUGUGAGUGAAGAAUACUUCCUUACCCGAAGUAAAGAAAACUUGUUAAUUCGAUCAAGGCUUGGCUGUUUGACAUGGUUUUCCUUUGCAUUUGUAUUUAAAAAAAAGAAAAAAGAAAAAAAAAUCCAUAAAGACUGGAAGGUGGCUUAAAUGCAGUCCCCUCUGCUGUCCUGGGAAAUGAGUAUUUUAGUGACCGGACAUCGUCUGUAAGCUCACUGGAAAAGGGUAAUUAAUGAUAGGCCCGGGGCCCCCCGUCUCUCCACCUGUCUUCCUUGGUUUCUGUCUGUGCUCACCCCUCACGGUUACCUUUUCAGGUAUAAAAGAGGUUAUCUUCAUGUCGGAUAAAUACCACGACAGCGAGGAGACGACGGCCGCCAGGCUCCUGUUUAAGUUGGCUGGGGUUACGUUCAGAAAAUUCACACCGAAGUUCAGCAAGAUUGUCAUUGACUUUGAUUCCAUCAACAGCCGACCGAGUCAGAAGCCUCAGUGAGUUUUGUCUCGUUAAAGCACUAGAAGAAGAUGACACCCCCCCCACACACACACACACACACACGGGGCUCCCCGAGCCUUUCAUCUUGAAGUCCCACUUAAGUUUUUAAUAGCACAACACACAUAAACAUCUGAAGAGUAUAAAACUUGGAAUCUUCUCACCCGUCACGUGGAGCUCCAUCUGUUUCAGCUGUUGAUUUAGUUUGGGUUGGAAACUAAGGGACUGCCCACAGGAGCUGGAGUGAAGGUCUCUCCCCUUCCGCCGAGCCUGUCUGCCAGAGAGUGUCAGCUCUGUCAUCCACCAUAUUUCGACAGCCGCUCCUUGCUGCUACACAGGGUAGAAGGACAUACAAAUAAUUGCUUCUCGUUCUUAGCGGGGAAGAACAGGCGCACUGAGGUGAACAUCUGGCCCAAAUGAAGCAUACCCUGUCAACGCCCUUGGGAAAACAAAUAGGACCGAAUGAAGCUAGUGUGAACACUACCUGCUGCAGAGUUGAGGGGACCUCUCACCUGGUCACAUGAGGUUGAGGAGGGCACCGUGUCCUGGCAGAGGAUCAGUCCAAUGUCCCCCUCGGUUCACGCUUUCUGGCCUUACACAAAGCAGUAGGCACGCCAUCCCUCUGGAGGGUAGGGGACCCCUGCGGUUCCAGCCUCUUAGCCUUGGUUUGUUGGUCACAUAGCACUGUUAAAUUUAUCCGAGGAAUAAGUAGUUCCUAGAGGAGGCAGUCUAUCACUCCCCCUAGACCUGGCGCUGCGCGGUGACAGCUGGAGCUGUAUGGAUGGGUGAUGAGGGACGUCCCCCAUCCCGUGUCUCCUGCUGUGCGGACACAUGUCACUCCUGCUCCACGUGCCAGCAUGGUUCAUUUCCAAGGGCACCCUACAACCAGAGAGCACAUUAAUUCCUGUCCUAUAAGAGGAUUGUGGGAAACUCCGUGUACCUGGAGGUGGUCCAUGCCAGAUCCUCAUUUGUGCCUUGAGCCUCACAGGCAGCAUAUGCCUGCUACCCCACUGUGGGUGGGGGUGCCCUACCGCGUACUCAAAUUUUUAAUUUCAUUUAACUUCUAGCAGACAUGCUCAAUGUCUUUGAUAAAAUAGUGUCUUUUUUUCCAUGGGUUUUUAUUUCAUUUCUAAGAUUUUUUUAACACUCCGUAUUCUGGAGCAUUUUUUAUAAUUUAGAUGUUUGCCAUUAUUAAUAAAAUUUUAUUAAAAUCAUCCAGUACC
RNA transcript from Mus pahari (shrew mouse), 2681 nucleotides. It is a transcript of the gene named dCMP deaminase, with no coding region annotated. The record is from RefSeq and is a predicted model, not a curated record. The transcript is spliced from 6 exons. Lineage: Eukaryota; Metazoa; Chordata; Mammalia; Rodentia; Muridae.